This 1092-nucleotide long non-coding RNA is filed under the name Homo sapiens (human). RNAcentral describes it as "LNC_000891". Lineage: Eukaryota; Metazoa; Chordata; Mammalia; Primates; Hominidae. The record is from RNAcentral.
GCCAUGAAGAAAACAGCUGAUGAAAGGGGCUAAAGCUAGCUUCAUUUCUUGCAGGUCUAGUUCUGAGUCUAGGGACAGAAGUUUUAGCUUUGGCUGGACACCCAUAGCCCUCUGUGACCUGUCAGUAUUUUUAACUUCACGAUGACUCCUAAGUGGACUGCUGUCCACUGGCCACAACUUACUGAAACUUUCUCCAUAUUCAGCAUUUAUUAAGGACUGGAGGUUCCAAGAUGUAGACAAGACCCCAGGAGCUGCAGCAGUCAUCUGCUCACACUGAAGUUCGUAGAACUAAAAGACGGAAGGAGCCUGGGAUGCUGAUGAAAUUGUGAAGCUACUGACACAAGCCCUGGACUGCCUAUCUCUGGACUCUACUGGAUGGGUCCACAUGGCAAGGAACCAAGGGUAGCCUCUGGCCAGCAACCAGAGAAGAUAAAGAUCUCCAACAACGUCUGCGUUUGGAAGAGGAUUGUUCUUCCGUAGAGUUUUCUGAUGAGGCCCCAGCCUUGGCAACAUCUUGACUGUCUCCUUGUAAAGGGACCUUGAGACAGAGGACUCAGCUCAGCCGUGCCAGACUCCUGACUCACAGAAACAGUGAGAUUAUAAAAACAAACUGUUUUAAGCCACUAAGUUUUGAGUAAUUUGUCACACAGUAGAUAAUAAACUUCCAUAGAAUCUUGAUAUUGAUCAUAUUUCUCUUUGCCUUAACAAUCUUGUGUCUGUGCCCCUACCCUGUUUUCCACAAAAAUAUCCAGAGAGACCCAACUAUUUUGCGAGUGAGGUAUUUUUCAUGAGAAUUUAGGGCAAGCAGAGACUUCAUCCUCUCUCCUCUCUUUUCCUUUCCCCUGAGCAAUGGACAAUAGCAUAUUAUUUACCUUGACCUGUGACAAACAGUUCUACCCAUAUUCAGGCCCAAGCACCUGUCAAAAACUACAGUUUCCCUAAAGGAAAACUAAUGAUUAUAGUAAAAAAGACACCUGCAUUCAUAUGUUUAUUGCAGCACUAUUCACAAUAGCAAAGUCAUGGAAUCAAUGUAAGUGUCCAGCAACAGAUUCAGAAGGUACAGAAAAUGUGGAUACAAAAAAUGUGGUGUGU